Molecule: ribosomal RNA, 266 nt
Filed under: uncultured Staphylococcus sp.
Lineage: Bacteria; Bacillati; Bacillota; Bacilli; Caryophanales; Staphylococcaceae
Description: partial 16S ribosomal RNA
Rfam family: Bacterial small subunit ribosomal RNA
Source: RNAcentral
CGGCGGACGGGUGAGUAACACGUGGGUAACCUACCUAUAAGACUGGGAUAACUUCGGGAAACCGGAGCUAAUACCGGAUAAUAUUUCGAACCGCAUGGUUCGAUAGUGAAAGAUGGCUUUGCUAUCACUUAUAGAUGGACCUGCGCCGUAUUAGCUAGUUGGUAAGGUAACGGCUUACCAAGGCGACGAUACGUAGCCGACCUGAGAGGGUGAUCGGCCACACUGGAACUGAGACACGGUCCAGACUCCUACGGGAGGCAGCAGUA